AUGGCGGCACUUGUAGAUUUGCUGCCAAAAGAAUAUGGCUUUGUGGCUAUUGUUCUCGUUAUCUAUUGCUUCCUCAAUUUCUACAUGACCUUUCAUGUCGGCAAAGCUCGCAAGAAGUACAAAGUGUUUUAUCCAACACUCUAUGCUUCUGAAUCUGAAAACAAAGAUGCCAAGCUCUUCAAUUGUGUUCAGAUCUGCUAA
This is a non-coding RNA of Vicia faba (fava bean), 201 nucleotides long. The record is from the annotation of a GenBank genome assembly. Lineage: Eukaryota; Viridiplantae; Streptophyta; Magnoliopsida; Fabales; Fabaceae.